AUGGGGGACUUUUCUUCUCUUCUUUUUCUUUCUUUCUUUCUUCUUCUUUGUAAUGAGCUGCAUCUUAACGUGUUGACCUCCCGAUGGCAGCACCCUGCCGAAGCACUUCCCUUGCCUCAGGGGAUUCUGCUGAAGUUCACGAUCCAGCGCCUGAAGAAGGAGGUUCUUCAUUUGACGAAAAGGUCGAAGAAGAUGGAAGGCGAACUCCGCAGGUUGAGGGAGAGCCACUCUG
This 232-nucleotide long non-coding RNA is filed under the name Elaeis guineensis (African oil palm). RNAcentral describes it as "long non-coding RNA (EGUI_LNC002663)". Lineage: Eukaryota; Viridiplantae; Streptophyta; Magnoliopsida; Arecales; Arecaceae. The record is from RNAcentral.